GACGAACGCUGGCGGCGUGCUUAACACAUGCCAGUCGAACGGAAAGGCCCUGCUUUUGUGGGGUGCUCGAGUGGCGAACGGGUGAGUAACACGUGAGUAACCUGCCCUUGACUUUGGGAUAACUUCAGGAAACUGGGGCUAAUACCGGAUAGGAGCUCCUGCUGCAUGGUGGGGGUUGGAAAGUUUCGGCGGUUGGGGACGGACUCGCGGCUUAUCAGCUUGUUGGUGGGGUAGUGGCUUACCAAGGCUUUGACGGGUAGCCGGCCUGAGAGGGUGACCGGCCACAUUGGGACUGAGAUACGGCCCAGGCUCCUACGGGAGGCAGCAGUGGGGAAUAUUGCACAAUGGGCGGAAGCCUGAUGCAGCAACGCCGCGUGCGGGAUGACGGCCUUCGGGUUGUAAACCGCUUUCGCCUGUGACGAAGCGUGAGUGACGGUAAUGGGUAAAGAAGCACCGGCUAACUACGUG
Molecule: ribosomal RNA, 468 nt
Filed under: uncultured bacterium
Lineage: Bacteria
Description: partial 16S ribosomal RNA
Rfam family: Bacterial small subunit ribosomal RNA
Source: RNAcentral